This 897-nucleotide ribosomal RNA is filed under the name Triticum aestivum (bread wheat). RNAcentral's name for it is "partial small subunit ribosomal RNA". The record is from RNAcentral. Lineage: Eukaryota; Viridiplantae; Streptophyta; Magnoliopsida; Poales; Poaceae.
AUGCAUGGAUUAAACAUGUUAUUUCUAGUUGAUUCUGGGAGUUCCCACUCCUUCGUGGAUGCUGCAUUUUCUGACAAACUACAAGGCCUCACUCCGAUGUCCCAAGUGUUGGUUAAAAUUGCCAAUGGAGACACAAUUCCUUGCAACAAACAGAUUCUGGACUGCUAUUGGUCCUGUGUUGGGCACAAAUUCAUGAAUUCUUCCAAGGUUUUUCCUCUGGGCAGCUAUGAUGGCAUCCUUGGCUGGUUUUCAUCAUACAGUCCAAUGCUAGUAGACUGGAGAAACCAUUGGAUGUCAUUUACUUAUCAAGGAACUGAAAUUACCCUACUAGGCACAACAACAGUAACACCAAUAGUUGUAGUGUUGAAAGUGUGUGCUCUUUUCUUUACUGAAAACAGUCCCAUCCUGCCUGAAGUUCAGUUGGUUUUGAAUGAUUUUCAACACCUGUUUGAGACGCCAACCGGCAUACCUUCUCGUAGAGCCUAUGACCGCACCAUUCCGUUAAUCCCUGGUGCCAAUCCAGUUCCUAUGAGAUCGUAUCGUUUGGAUCCUACACUAAAAACUGAGUUGGAACAUCAGAUACAAGAAAUGCUUUCUAAUGGAGUUAUCAGACCUAGCAACAGUCCAUUUUCUUCUCCUCUUCUCAUGAUCAAGAAGAAGGAUGAAACUUGGAGGCUAGUGAUGGAUUAUAGGCACUUAAAUGCAAUGACUCAGAAGGGUAAAAUUCCUAUACUUGUUAUUGAUGAACUGCUAGAAGAACUGGUCGGUGCUAGUUGGUUCAGUAAAUUGGAUCUUCGAUCUGGCUAUCAUCAAAUUCGUUUGCCCUCAAGUGAGGAGUACAAGACUGCCUUCGAGACAAACUUAGGGACUAUGAAUUUCUGGUGUUCUCCUUUGUAA